Molecule: ribosomal RNA, 253 nt
Filed under: uncultured bacterium
Lineage: Bacteria
Description: partial 16S ribosomal RNA
Rfam family: Bacterial small subunit ribosomal RNA
Source: RNAcentral
UACGGAGGGUGCGAGCGUUGUCCGGAAUCAUUGGGCGUAAAGGGCGCGUAGGUGGCGGGACAAGCGUGCGGUGAAAGCCUGGGGCUCAACCCCGGGUCGGCCGUGCGAACUGUUUUGCUUGAGCACUGUAGAGGCAGGCGGAAUUCCGGGUGUAGCGGUGGAAUGCGUAGAGAUCCGGAAGAACACCGGUGGCGAAGGCGGCCUGCUGGGCAGUAGCUGACGCUGAGGCGCGACAGCGUGGGGAGCAAACAGG